UACGUAGGGUGCGAGCGUUAAUCGGAAUUACUGGGCGUAAAGCGUGCGCAGGCGGUUUUGUAAGCCAGAUGUGAAAUCCCCGGGCUUAACCUGGGAACUGCAUUUGGGACUGCGAGGCUAGAGUACGGCAGAGGGAGGUGGAAUUCCACGUGUAGCAGUGAAAUGCGUAGAUAUGUGGAGGAACACCGAUGGCGAAGGCAGCCUCCUGGGCUAGUACUGACGCUCAUGCACGAAAGCGUGGGGAGCAAACAGG
Molecule: ribosomal RNA, 253 nt
Filed under: uncultured bacterium
Lineage: Bacteria
Description: partial 16S ribosomal RNA
Rfam family: Bacterial small subunit ribosomal RNA
Source: RNAcentral